RNAcentral lists this ribosomal RNA (449 nucleotides) under uncultured Streptococcus sp. Its description in RNAcentral is "bacterial SSU rRNA". It matches the Rfam family "Bacterial small subunit ribosomal RNA", at positions 930 to 1382 of the family's 1533-position model. Lineage: Bacteria; Bacillati; Bacillota; Bacilli; Lactobacillales; Streptococcaceae. The record is from RNAcentral.
CGGUGGAGCAUGUGGUUUAAUUCGAAGCAACGCGAAGAACCUUUACCAGGUCUUGACAUCCGAUGCUAUUUCUAGAGAUAGAAAGUUACUUCGGUACAUCGGUGACAGGUGGUGCAUGGUUGUCGUCAGCUCGUGUCGUGAGAUGUUGGGUUAAGUCCCGCAACGAGCGCAACCCCUAUUGUUAGUUGCCAUCAUUCAGUUGGGCACUCUAGCGAGACUGCCGGUAAUAAACCGGAGGAAGUGGGAUGACGUCAAAUCAUCAUGCCCCUUAUGACCUGGGCUACACACGUGCUACAAUGGUUGGUACAACGAGUUGCGAGUCGGUGACGGCGAGCUAAUCUCUUAAAGCCAAUCUCAGUUCGGAUUGUAGGCUGCAACUCGCCUACAUGAAGUCGGAAUCGCUAGUAAUCGCGGAUCAGCACGCCGCGGUGAAUACGUUCCCGGGCCUU